AAGUAUAAAGUUAACUCUUCUUCUACAAUUAGUAAUUAAUUUUAAGAACCAAUCUUUAACUCUUUUUCAGUUUCAUCAUUCAGAUUUUAUUAAUACUUCUUUUUGCGAGUUUUGUUUCUUCUUGGGACUCUUUUUUUUCAUCAAGAUGUCAAAAUUCUAUGAAAGAGAUUUCAACCAGAUGAUUAUUUCCGGCUCGAUUUUGAACGUUGUUGGUCAAGAUGAUAAUUUGCACUUCUUUUUGAACCCUUUAUGUUGGAGUUUCACAUAGGUGGGUUAAAGGGUCCUUGGUCUUAUUAUAUGGUCUUGGGCAAUCCUCCCCUCAUGAGCUAGCUUUUGAGGUUGAGUUACGCCUAAGAUCCAUUUCUUUAUCAUGGUAUCAGAGUCAGGCCAACCCAGUUCAUUGUUUUCAAUGUUGGCCCCCUUCUUAUAUUGUCCACACUCCAAAUGUCCAUCCCUAGACGUACAGGGGAUGUUGGAGCCCCACAUCAGUGGGUUAAAGGGUCAUUGGUUUCCUUAUAUGGUCUUGGAUAAUCCUCCCGACAUAAGCUAGCUUUUGAGGUUAAGUUAGGCCCAAGGUCCAUUUCUUUAUGACUUUCAUCUCUUUUUCUCCUUUGCAAAAUGUUUUCCAUAUUUUUUUGUUUGCUUCUUGCUUCGUUAAUUUUCUAUUUAUUUGCAAAUAUUUAUGUCCAGAUUUUAUUGUAAAUUAAACAUAAUUUUUUAUUAUUCACGCUCAUAAUUGAUUUAUCUUCACAAAUCUCGAUUUUCUCUCAACGUCUCAUGAAUUUCUUCUCUUCCUACUUCAUAUUAAAUAUUUAGUUAUUAUCACUAGAAUCAUGUUCAUGUGGAAUCCUUACUAUUGGUAUUUAAUAUUUUCUUUUAUUUGCAGAGUAAUCAACUUAUCGCGAAAAUCAAUAUAUCCUGACAAAUUUUACAACAUGUAAAAGAUAUUAUAAAAUAACGUGUAAAAUUAUUAAUUUUUCACAGUAUAUUAUAAUUACGUAUUUUCACUCACUUUAUUUGUAAGAUAAUACACAUUUUCAUCUUUUAUUCCGCAUGGGAAGAUGAUUAUGUAUAUUUGAUCUCUUUAAUUCUUAUCUUAUUAAGUUUUUUCUUAAGUAAAAUAAACUUAUAGUAUUAAUAAGUUAAUUUAUUUUUGUUACAUUCCCUUUGUAUUUAUGACUACAUUUGAAGAUGAUGAGAUUGAUGACUUGAAUAGACUACACGAAUAUACAUUCAAACUUGCAUGCGAUGUUGGAUUAUAGAUUAAAAUAAUUUUAAAGAAAAUAACACCUUUUAAAUUUCAAUACGUUAUAUCUCUACAACUUUUGUUAAGUUAAAGCAAGUCUUCUAAUGAAAAAUAUAUAUUAGUCCUAAAUAUUGCUUGAUGUCGAAAUAUAAAUAACUUUUUCAGGCAUAUGAAAAUUAAAAUUUUGAUUUACUAAUUAAGAUAAAUCAUAUUUACUGAUCAUAUUUAGUAAUGCAAGAAAAUAAGAAUCAUCCUAAAAAUGUGUGUUAGUAAAUUUAUUUCUUAAUUGUUUAAAUUAUACCAUAUUGAUCUACUUAUCCUAUAACUAUUUUUUUUUUUAUUUUGAGAUAAGAGCGCAUGCAUCAUUUACUUAUAUCUUGCAUGGAGAUUUUAUUACCUCAAGAACCAAUGAGUUUAUUAGAUGUACAUACAUAUUCUUAAAUUAAUGGUACGAUAUGAAACCUUUUCUUUCUUUUUUUAUGAUUUUUUUUUUAAAAAAAAAACUAUGAAAAGUCCUUGAUGGAGAAAGAAAAGUUAGAUUUGUUUUAUAUUUGGAAAAUGAAUGUUUUUGCAUGUUAAUUUCAUUUGUGCAAUCCUAAGUACAUGAACAUGGGCUGGUCCUACAGGACUCUUCACAAAUUCUACUUAAGAUAUUUUUUUCAAAACUUUUUGUUGCUUCCAAAUUUAAUUACUCUUUAUAUAUAUUUAUUAUACAUGUCUUUUGAUUCCGUACUUAAUUUGAAUGCAAAGAUAUAAUUUAUUUGCUAUUUAGAUUUGAUUUCAAAUGCUUAUGAUUAUGCUUAUGUUGGUUUCAUGUCUCUUUAGUAAUUUUAAUUUUGUAUGAAGGAAUAUUUUCAAUAUGUAUGGUGAUGAAGAUGAUUGUAGAUAUUAAUCUUAUUGUGAUGAUAUAUUAAGAAAAAAAUGGACUAUUGUUGCUACAAAUUUUUAACUUAACCAUGAUCUAAUACUUUUUUUUGGUUAAAUGGAUGCAUAAUAAUUAAUAAUUAAGUUGAGUUAAUAUAUGAAGUGGAUAAAACAUCGUUUCCUUAGUACAGUUUUGAAGGGAAGGGUUAAUGUUAACAAAAUUUAAUACACUAUCAGUUGUAACUCUUCGUGGGAAUUCUUCUACAUGUUUGUCUGCUGCAAGAAAUUGUGCUGCAUACAAGGGUGGAUGAGGUAAGAUUUGCAACUGAUCAAAAUAAGCACCUUUUGUGGUAUCACUUCCUGCUAGCGCAUCUGGAACACUGUUUUUUUCUCUAAAUGUGUGCUUGAGGGUUGGAUUCCCUAAUUUCUAUAGUAAGUACCUAUAUUCCAAUAUGAUAUUAGAAUACCCAAGGUGGUCAGUGAGAAUCAUAUUAAUUGCAGCAGACGAGUCAGAGUUAACUUCAAGCGAAUACAAGUGCCUUUCCAGGACAAUCCUGAGACCUUGUAGGAUGGCAAGGAGCUCCGUUUGUUGAACAUUAACAUGGGUAAAGAUGGGGAAAGGUGUUGGUAUAGCCCAGGAUCCAGUCUCCCUUAUGGUCCUUAAAAACACCCCCAAUCUUGCCCGAUUCAGGUUGAUUUUUUACACCGACAUCAGUAUUAAGUUUAUAGGUACCUUGUAGAGGUGGUUUCCAUUUUAACUACACAACAGUGGUAGGGUUUGCUCGUUUAUUUCUUUCAUUAGUGAGCAUAACAAAUUCGGUUGCAAGAGCAACAGUUCUCUACACUGAGAUGGGGUUAUCUUUGUGGUUAAAAAGAUUAUCAUUCCUACAUAACCAAAUAUUCCACAAGCAGAAGGGAAGGAUGGAAUCCCAAUUGAACCAAUUAUUGAAGAGUUUAUUGUCAAUGGCUUUUCAGGUGUUAGUCCAUUUAGAAGAUUUGAGGGAGCGUGAAUCAAAACUGGCAAUAGAAAGGCUAUAGCUGGCCAUGCUGCUCCAGAAGGCAAUAGCCUUGGGACAUUGGAAGAAAGUGUGGGUGAUGUCUUCCUCAAUAUUAGGGCAAUACUUGCAGUGAGGGAAGACAGACAUGCCUAAGUGAUUGAGGUAACUACCAGUAGGCAGUCUCUUGUGGAGCAUGAGCCAAAGAAGGUCUUGAGCUUGUUGGGGGAAUUAACUUGCCAGACCGAGAGAAAGUCACUAUUAUAGUCAGCUUCAGUUGGACUAUCUCUUUCUUGAAGAGUCUUAUAGGCACUAGCAAUGGAGAACUUACAUCAGCAGUGGAGUCUCGGAUAAGCUUAUCUUCAAGCACUACUUGAGAGGGGAAGUAGGUACUCUUGAUAGUGCUUUGGAGAUGGUGAGGGAGGUCUAGAUUCCAAGUUCCCCUAUUAUGAAGAUGACUGACAGUGAGCCUAUAUUCACCCUUAUUCAGGGGGGCCUGAAUGUUGCUUCUGAUGGAACUAUGGUUGGGGAUCCAUUUGUCCCCAAAAAAUCUAACUCUACUACCUUUAUGGAUAACCCACCUCUGGUUUUGGAGACAGAUAUCCCAUCCCUCCUUGAUACAUUUCCAAGUUCUUGAGCAAAUCCUUUUAUUAGGUUCAGUCUAGUACUGGGUGCAGUAUUUGUUAUAAAGGAGUUUUGUCCAGGGGGAUUGAGUGUUAUGGUACAUCCUCCAAGAAAGACUGGCAUGGGCAGCUUUGUUUCUAAGUUCACUUCUUUGAAUACCCAGCCCUAUCAUAGCUUUGAUAGAGGUGAUUUUAUCCCAGCUAAGGAGAUGGAGCCUUUUUUUUGUCAGAAAUGGUACCCCAGAUGAAAUUUCUCUGGAUCUUAUUGAUAAUGUAGUGAAUCUUUUGAGACAGCUUAAUGUACUGCAUGACAUAAGAUGGGAUGCUAGACAGGGUAGAAUUAGUGAGGAUAAGCCUACCAUCCAUGCAUAGCAUCUUGAUUUUCCAGUCAGAGAGUCUGUUUUCCAUAUUAUCAAUGAUGAAUUGAAAGUCCCUAUUAGUGGGCUUGGAGUGAAAAAUUGGAAAACCCAGGUAUUUCCCAAAGGAAUUAGCACUGUUAAUGGUGAGAGAGUUAGAACAGUUAGUGAUAGUUGAAGGAGUGCAGUAAGCUAAGAAGAAAACUCUUGACUUAGCAGCGUUGAUUCUUUGCCCAGAUUUGUCACAAAAAACAUUAAGGGUUUUCUGAAUGGUUUGGCAAGCCUUAGUAGUUGCUUGAGAGAAGAGAGUUAGGUCAUCUGGAAAGAAUAUCUACUAACACAACAUUUAAUGAUUCCUCUCAAACUUGGUAUUACUGCAUAUUUAUUAAAAAAAAAAAUAUUACGAUCUUUCAAUUUAUUUUAAAAAAACAAAAUAAAUAACAAACGAACGAGAAAGAAUAGCAUAAGGAAUAAUUAUAUUUUUAUUCUAUAAAAUAAAAUAAUAAUAUAUAAUUUUUGCCUCAACUUUUGAUCCAAAGAGACGCUAGAGAGAUUCUAUUUUUUUCUUUUUCACUAUAAAAUAGGAAAGUAGCUCAAUACUUUUAUUUUACCUUUUUUUUCAUUAAUUAUGUUGUAUUCUAAUUUUUCAAAUUGCAAAAAAGAUAAGACAAAGUAAUGAAUAUUAAUAGUUUGUUUGGCUAGAUUUUUAAAAUUAAUUUAUUUUAAAAAAUAUUUUUUUUAGAAAACACCGUGCAACAACUAUUUUUUGACCAAACUUCUUAAAGUGUUUUUAAGUGUAUUUUUAAAAAAAAAAAAUCUUAAAUAAAUGCUUUUAGGAAUAAAUCAUUUUUUUAGCUUAUGAAAAGUUGUUUUUCCUACUUUGCAAAAACACUUAUUUUCUUUCAAAAAUUUGACCAAACACCUCAUUUUUCUUAAAAAAGAAAUACUUUUAGAAAAAUAUAAACUUGGUCAAAUAGGCUAUAGAUCAAGUGAAAUUUAAUAAAAAAUCAUUAAAAACAUAUAAUAAUACUAAAUUGUGUAUAUUUUGAUAUAGCAAAAUAAGAAAUAAGUAAUGUCGAGUCAGAUAGGAUGUAAGAUUGAGCACACAAUAAUCUUAAAGAGUGUAUUUCACUUUGAAAAAAAUUACAAAUAAAAAAACAUGAAAAUUUUAUAUUUUUCACAUUCAAUUUGUUACUUGAAAUCGUAAAAAUGAAAAGAAAUGGAUAAUUCUACUAAUAUAUUAUCAAAAUGAGAAGGCAAUUGGCAAUUCUUUUAAUAUACUCAUCAUUUUGUAAGUUUAUUUAUAUAUUAUAGUUUUUCGUAUAUGUAUACACUAAUUAGGUAAACAACUACUACUGUAACAAAAAAUUUUGAUUUGUGGGUAAACAAGAUGAAACAUUUUAGCGUAAGUGAUAUAUAAAUAAACUUUUCGAAUGAUAAGAAAAAAUCAAUUAUAACAAGAUUCUUAUGUCUUUACUAUUUUUAUGCAUAGUAUUUUCUAUUUAGUUUCAGUAUCAUUUUCACUUAGUUAUAUUGUGAUAUUCUAUCAUGCUCCUGGAAUAUAAAAAAGAAAUCCUAUUUAAAUAAAUGAACAGUAAUAAAACAAUACCAACAUAGAUACAAUACUAGAUGUUACUCAUAGAAUCAAAAAAUUGAAAAUAAUAUCUCAAAUAUGGUACAAAUGGUUAAAAUAAAUAUAUUUCUAUUAUCUCUCUGCGCUCUUUUUGUUUUAAAAGAUAAUCCGCGCAUUGCGCGGGAUGAAUACUAGUGUCUACAAAUGUCCGCUUGGCCAUGAAGUUUAAUCAUCAAAUUUUAAAAAUCUGGUUUCAAAUAUUUCCAAAUCUGAGUCAAUUUUUGAGAUUCUGAAUUUCUCUCACAAAACUUCAAAUUUUUUUCAACUAAAAUCCACGUCCAAACACAAAUCAAACUUCAAAAACUUUGUUUCAAUUUCAAAAUAUUGCCAACUGGUAGACUUAAAACACACGCUGGCAUGUAGGUCGAAUCCUGAAGCAAUGCACUUUCCCUCAUAGUGUGGUGCCGGUGUCAGGUAUUGGGGCUUGAGCGCUUGGCAAAACUUCUCAAUAUAUUUCAAUUCUCAAACAAUACACUCCACAUGUUGACCAC
RNAcentral lists this long non-coding RNA (6208 nucleotides) under Capsicum annuum. RNAcentral describes it as "long non-coding RNA (CANN_LNC007092)". Lineage: Eukaryota; Viridiplantae; Streptophyta; Magnoliopsida; Solanales; Solanaceae. The record is from RNAcentral.